GACGAACGCUGGCGGCGUGCCUAAUACAUGCAAGUAGAACGCUGAAGAGAGGAGCUUGCUCUUCUUGGAUGAGUUGCGAACGGGUGAGUAACGCGUAGGUAACCUGCCUUGUAGCGGGGGAUAACUAUUGGAAACGAUAGCUAAUACCGCAUAACAAUGGAUGACACAUGUCAUUUAUUUGAAAGGGGCAAUUGCUCCACUACAAGAUGGACCUGCGUUGUAUUAGCUAGUAGGUGAGGUAACGGCUCACCUAGGCGACGAUACAUAGCCGACCUGAGAGGGUGAUCGGCCACACUGGGACUGAGACACGGCCCAGACUCCUACGGGAGGCAGCAGUAGGGAAUCUUCGGCAAUGGGGGCAACCCUGACCGAGCAACGCCGCGUGAGUGAAGAAGGUUUUCGGAUCGUAAAGCUCUGUUGUAAGUCAAGAACGAGUGUGAGAGUGGAAAGUUCACACUGUGACGGUAGCUUACCAGAAAGGGACGGCUAACUACGUGCCAGCAGCCGCGGUAAUACGUAGGUCCCGAGCGUUGUCCGGAUUUAUUGGGUGUAAAGCGAGCGCAGGCGGUUUGAUAAGUCUGAAGUUAAAGGCUGUGGCUCAACCAUAGUUCGCUUUGGAAACUGUCAAACUUGAGUGCAGAAGGGGAGAGUGGAAUUCCAUGUGUAGCGGUGAAAUGCGUAGAUAUAUGGAGGAACACCGGUGGCGAAAGCGGCUCUCUGGUCUGUAACUGACGCUGAGGCUCGAAAGCGUGGGGAGCGAACAGGAUUAGAUACCCUGGUAGUCCACGCCGUAAACGAUGAGUGCUAGGUGUUGGAUCCUUUCCGGGAUUCAGUGCCGCAGCUAACGCAUUAAGCACUCCGCCUGGGGAGUACGACCGCAAGGUUGAAACUCAAAGGAAUUGACGGGGGCCCGCACAAGCGGUGGAGCAUGUGGUUUAAUUCGAAGCAACGCGAAGAACCUUACCAGGUCUUGACAUCCCGAUGCUAUUUCUAGAGAUAGAAAGUUACUUCGGUACAUCGGUGACAGGUGGUGCAUGGUUGUCGUCAGCUCGUGUCGUGAGAUGUUGGGUUAAGUCCCGCAACGAGCGCAACCCCUAUUGUUAGUUGCCAUCAUUCAGUUGGGCACUCUAGCGAGACUGCCGGUAAUAAACCGGAGGAAGGUGGGGAUGACGUCAAAUCAUCAUGCCCCUUAUGACCUGGGCUACACACGUGCUACAAUGGUUGGUACAACGAGUUGCGAGUCGGUGACGGCAAGCUAAUCUCUUAAAGCCAAUCUCAGUUCGGAUUGUAGGCUGCAACUCGCCUACAUGAAGUCGGAAUCGCUAGUAAUCGCGGAUCAGCACGCCGCGGUGAAUACGUUCCCGGGCCU
RNAcentral lists this ribosomal RNA (1369 nucleotides) under uncultured bacterium. RNAcentral's name for it is "bacterial SSU rRNA". It matches the Rfam family "Bacterial small subunit ribosomal RNA", at positions 28 to 1381 of the family's 1533-position model. The record is from RNAcentral.